GAUGAACGCUGGCGGCGUGCCUAAUACAUGCAAGUCGAGCGAACAGACGAGGAGCUUGCUCCUCUGACGUUAGCGGCGGACGGGUGAGUAACACGUGGAUAACCUACCUAUAAGACUGGGAUAACUUCGGGAAACCGGAGCUAAUACCGGAUAAUAUAUUGAACCUCAUGGUUCAAUAGUGAAAGACGGUUUUGCUGUCACUUAUAGAUGGAUCCGCGCCGCAUUAGCUAGUUGGUAAGGUAACGGCUUACCAAGGCGACGAUGCGUAGCCGACCUGAGAGGGUGAUCGGCCACACUGGAACUGAGACAAGGUCCAGACUCCUACGGGAGGCAGCAGUAGGGAAUAUUCCGCAAUGGGCGAAAGCAUGACGGAGCAACGCCGCGUGAGUGAUGAAGGUCUUCGGCUCGUAAAACUCUGUUAUUAGGGAAGAACAAAUGUGUAAGUAACUAUGCACGUCUUGACGGUACCUAAACAGAAAGCCACGGCUAACUACGUG
RNAcentral lists this ribosomal RNA (497 nucleotides) under uncultured bacterium. RNAcentral's name for it is "partial 16S ribosomal RNA". It matches the Rfam family "Bacterial small subunit ribosomal RNA", at positions 28 to 507 of the family's 1533-position model. The record is from RNAcentral.